This 397-nucleotide ribosomal RNA is filed under the name uncultured bacterium. RNAcentral's name for it is "partial 16S ribosomal RNA". It matches the Rfam family "Bacterial small subunit ribosomal RNA", at positions 523 to 918 of the family's 1533-position model. The record is from RNAcentral.
AUACGUAGGUGGCAAGCGUUGUCCGGAAUUAUUGGGCGUAAAGCGCGCGCAGGCGGUCCUUUAAAUCUGAUGUGAAAGCCCACGGCUCAACCGUGGAGGGUCAUUGGAAACUGGGGGACUUGAGUGCAGAAGAGGAAAGUGGAAUUCCAAGUGUAGCGGUGAAAUGCGUAGAGAUUUGGAGGAACACCAGUGGCGAAGGCGACUUUCUGGUCUGUAACUGACGCUGAGGCGCGAAAGCGUGGGGAGCAAACAGGAUUAGAUACCCUGGUAGUCCACGCCGUAAACGAUGAGUGCUAAGUGUUAGGGGGUUUCCGCCCCUUAGUGCUGCAGCUAACGCAUUAAGCACUCCGCCUGGGGAGUACGGUCGCAAGACUGAAACUCAAAUGAAUUGACGGGG